AGAUUUUAGGUUUCGUAGGUGACCUGCGGAAGGAUCAUUACCGAGUGAGGGCCCUCUGGGUCCAACCUCCCACCCGUGUUUAUUUUACCUUGUUGCUUCGGCGGGCCCGCCUUAACUGGCCGCCGGGGGGCUUACGCCCCCGGGCCCGCGCCCGCCGAAGACACCCUCGAACUCUGUCUGAAGAUUGUAGUCUGAGUGAAAAUAUAAAUUAUUUAAAACUUUCAACAACGGAUCUCUUGGUUCCGGCAUCGAUGAAGAACGCAGCGAAAUGCGAUACGUAAUGUGAAUUGCAAAUUCAGUGAAUCAUCGAGUCUUUGAACGCACAUUGCGCCCCCUGGUAUUCCGGGGGGCAUGCCUGUCCGAGCGUCAUUUCUGCCCUCAAGCACGGCUUGUGUGUUGGGCCCCGUCCUCCGAUCCCGGGGGACGGGCCCGAAAGGCAGCGGCGGCACCGCGUCCGGUCCUCGAGCGUAUGGGGCUUUGUCACCCGCUCUGUAGGCCCGGCCGGCGCUUGCCGAUCAACCCAAAUUUUUAUCCAGGUUGACCUCGGAUCAGGUAGGGAUACCCGCUGAACUUAAGCAUAUCAAUAAGUCGGAGGAA
RNAcentral lists this ribosomal RNA (597 nucleotides) under Gallus gallus (chicken). RNAcentral describes it as "eukaryotic LSU rRNA". The stretch from base 217 to 369 matches the Rfam family "5.8S ribosomal RNA". Lineage: Eukaryota; Metazoa; Chordata; Aves; Galliformes; Phasianidae. The record is from RNAcentral.